AGAGUUUGAUCCUGGCUCAGGACGAACGCUGGCGGCGUGCUUAACACAUGCAAGUCGAACGGUGAUGUCGGUGCUUGCACCGCUGAUCAGUGGCGAACGGGUGAGUAACACGUGAGUAACCUGCCCUUGACUCUGGGAUAACCCCGGGAAACCGGAGCUAAUACCGGAUAUGAACUGUCCAGGCAUCUGGUCGGUUGGAAAGAUUUAUCGGUCAAGGAUGGACUCGCGGCCUAUCAGCUUGUUGGUGGGGUAAUGGCCUACCAAGGCGACGACGGGUAGCCGGCCUGAGAGGGCGACCGGCCACACUGGGACUGAGACACGGCCCAGACUCCUACGGGAGGCAGCAGUGGGGAAUAUUGCACAAUGGGCGCAAGCCUGAUGCAGCGACGCCGCGUGAGGGAUGAAGGCCUUCGGGUUGUAAACCUCUUUCAGCAGGGAAGAAGCGAAAGUGACGGUACCUGCAGAAGAAGCACCGGCUAACUACGUGCCAGCAGCCGCGGUAAUACGUAGGGUGCAAGCGUUGUCCGGAAUUAUUGGGCGUAAAGAGCUCGUAGGCGGUCUGUCGCGUCUGCUGUGAAAACUCGGGGCUUAACCCCGGGCCUGCAGUGGGUACGGGCAGACUAGAGUGCGGUAGGGGAGACUGGAAUUCCUGGUGUAGCGGUGAAAUGCGCAGAUAUCAGGAGGAACACCGGUGGCGAAGGCGGGUCUCUGGGCAACAACUGACGCUGAGGAGCGAAAGCGUGGGGAGCGAACAGGAUUAGAUACCCUAGUAGUCC
RNAcentral lists this ribosomal RNA (776 nucleotides) under uncultured bacterium. RNAcentral describes it as "bacterial SSU rRNA". It matches the Rfam family "Bacterial small subunit ribosomal RNA", at positions 8 to 796 of the family's 1533-position model. The record is from RNAcentral.